Molecule: non-coding RNA, 1769 nt
Organism: Podarcis muralis (Common wall lizard)
Lineage: Eukaryota; Metazoa; Chordata; Lepidosauria; Squamata; Lacertidae
Source: RefSeq, a predicted model, not a curated record
CAAUCAACAAUGAGGAGCAAGAUGAUGCUUGGGGUCCCUUCCAACUCUGAUUCUAUGUUAUAUUUUGGGGAGGGAUCUUUUGAUUCGUGUCAAUUACAGGAUAUCAUGUUUUUUUUAUAGUAAAAUUUAAUAAACAAUGAUAAAUACAUAAAUAAAUGCAGCUGAUUUUUCUGCCCUCCAGAGAGAGAGAGAGAGAAAUGAAAUGCCUUCUGCCAUUGUGUCAUUUAUUGGAGGCUGUCUUGGAAAAUAGAAAACAGUAAAUAGCAGUGAGGAAAACGGGUUUGGGAUGGUCGCAAGCUGCCCCAGGGGAAGGGGGUGAGUUGGAGGAGGAGGGGCAGGGUGAGGCAGCAGCUCCAACUGUGUGGGUCUGGGUGUGGGGCUCAGCACCCUUCUCGGACAAGGAGAGGCACCUUUCACCUGACCUCCAGGUAGGGUUGGGGGGAAAUCGAACUCACCUCUCUCUGGCGUAUCCCAGUCGAAGAUCCACCAGGCAAAAUACAGGACGCUGAUAGACCAGUAGGAGGUGAAGAGCAGGUAGACCAGGAGAAUGGAGAAGAAGGCACCUGGGGGGGGGGAGGCCAGAGGCAGGUGAGGGGCAGGCCGGCCUCCAGGCUGAAAGCUCCCUGGGUGGUGGGGAGGUGUCUGAAGGGGUCCAUCUAGGGCAGGCUUCCUCAGCCUCUGCCCUCCAGGCCCCACGAGGAGGAGGAGGCAUAGCUGUCGACGUUCCCCUUUUUUAAAGGGAAAUUCCCUUAUUCCGAAAAGGAUUCCUCGCAAGAAAAGGGAAAGUUGACAGCUGUGGGAGGAGGCCAAGCUGCUCCUCUUCCCUGAGCACCCCUGCCCCUCCCUCCCCCCCAGCUCCCAACUUACCAAAGAAGAGGUAGGUGAGGACCCACUGGAAGACGCUAAGGGCCUCCAGGUGCUUCUGCAGAGCCAUCUUCUGACCCUGGGUCUCAGGAAGAGGAAGAGAUCCUGGGGAGAAAAUCCACCGGGGGGGGGCUGCAGCAGGACUCCAGCCAGGAGGGGCCCCUGCCUUGGCAGAAGGGAGAACGUGAAGACGCAGGUGUUUUCAGCACAGGUGGCCUCUGACCUGCAUCCUUUCAAAGCCCAGCUGCUCCCCUUCAGCCAUGCCCUCGGGAGGGGGGCAGCAUGUGGGGGAGGAGGAAAGAGGCUCACUUGUCCAGGAGAAGAUGAUGUCCUGUCCGUGGCUGCAAUGCACAAGUCUCUCUCUGCCGCCUGCACUUUGGUCCCCAGGAGGGUAGAACAAGAAAUCCAUGAGCAUAAAUAAAGUGUUUCUGAGCCGCAGUGCUGGGCAGAGCAGGAGUGGCCAUGAUCCCAGAAGCAGAAGAGCACCUACUCGGACCUUUUCCUCUCAGCUGUCAAUGGGCAACACCUGAUAAAGGGAAAGACAGAAAAAUCAUACUGUAUACUCACAAUAUUGGCACAAGAGACUGGAUGAGCAGAAUUGAGCUGACCUAACUGUAAUGCCAAAAGGAAUGUAAAAUAUUUGCUCCGAGAGGAAAAGGCAGGCAAUACACUGACACCUUGACUGACAGCUGACAGGUAAUGGACUCAAAUGUCUGUCACUCCACCUGUUUUAAGGCGAAGAAUAAGGUUUGAAUGAUGCUUCUCUGAAAUGAAUUGUAGGGGGAAAAUGUAACUUCUAAAAGGAGUUACAUGCCUUUGUUUGGGACUUAUUCUUUCCGGGCUUAGAGGUUGAAAUCUUAUCGCAACAAUAAAGACAAGGCUUAAUAGCUGCUUCUUGCUUUCCU